UACGGAGGGUGCAAGCGUUAAUCGGAAUUACUGGGCGUAAAGCGUGCGCAGGCGGUUUGUUAAGUCUGCUGUGAAAUCCCCGAGCUCAACUUGGGAAUUGCAGUGGAUACUGGCAAGCUGGAGUACGGUAGAGGAAGGUGGAAUUCCCGGUGUAGCAGUGAAAUGCGUAGAGAUCGGGAGGAACACCAGUGGCGAAGGCGGCCUUCUGGACCAGUACUGACGCUGAUGCACGAAAGCGUGGGGAGCAAACAGG
Molecule: ribosomal RNA, 253 nt
Filed under: uncultured bacterium
Lineage: Bacteria
Description: partial 16S ribosomal RNA
Rfam family: Bacterial small subunit ribosomal RNA
Source: RNAcentral